GAUGAACGCUGGCGGCGUGCUUAACACAUGCAAGUCGAACGAAGUGGCGAACGGGUGAGUAACGCGUAAUCAACCUGCCCUUCAGAGGGGGACAACAGUUGGAAACGACUGCUAAUACAGCAUACUGCAGGAGGGGAUUGUGUCUGAUUAGCUGGUUGGAGGGGUAACGGCCCACCAAGGCGAAGAUCAGUAGGCGGUCUGGGAGGAUGAACGGCCACAUUGGGACUGGAACACGGCCCAGACUCCUACGGGAGGUAGCAGUGGGGAAUCUUCCGCAAUGGACGAAAGUCUGACUGAGCAACGCCGCGUGAGUGAUGACGGCCUUCGGGUUGUAAAGCUCUGUUAAUCGGGACGCGGUACCGGAAUAGAAAGCCACGGCUAACUACGUGCCAGCAGCCGCGGUAAUUC
This 408-nucleotide ribosomal RNA is filed under the name uncultured bacterium. RNAcentral describes it as "partial 16S ribosomal RNA". It matches the Rfam family "Bacterial small subunit ribosomal RNA", at positions 28 to 526 of the family's 1533-position model. The record is from RNAcentral.